CACAUCACAUUCCGUAUGAUUACCGAAGUUAAGCAUCGUCCAGCCUGGUCAGUACUUAGAUGGGUGACUGUUUGGGAAUACCAGAUUCUGUAA
Non-coding RNA from Acanthosepion pharaonis, 93 nucleotides. NCBI's taxonomy places the organism in Eukaryota, Metazoa, Mollusca, Cephalopoda, Sepiida, Sepiidae. The record is from the annotation of a GenBank genome assembly.